GACGAACUGUCCUAACGUUGUUCGGAAUCACUGGGUUUAAAGGGUGCGUAGGCGGCUUUAUAAGUCAGUGCUGAAAUAUCCCGGCUUAACCGGGAGGGUGGCAUUGAUACUGCAGAGCUUGAGUGAAGUCGAGGUAGGCGGAAUUGACGGUGUAGCGGUGAAAUGCUUAGAUAUCGUCAAGAACACCGAUAGUGAAGACAGCUUACUAGACUUCAACUGACGCUGAGGCACGAAAGUGUGGGGAUCAAACAGG
Molecule: ribosomal RNA, 253 nt
Filed under: uncultured Ohtaekwangia sp.
Lineage: Bacteria; Pseudomonadati; Bacteroidota; Cytophagia; Cytophagales; Fulvivirgaceae
Description: partial 16S ribosomal RNA
Rfam family: Bacterial small subunit ribosomal RNA
Source: RNAcentral